CAGCCCAUUAAGUUAUGUGUGUUUUAGUGGAACGCUCUGGGAAGUGCGAACGUAGAGGGUGAUAUUCCCGUACACGAAAGGGCACACAUAAUGAUGACGAGUAGGGCGAGGCACGUGAAACCUUGUCUGAAUAUGGGGGGACCAUCCUCCAAGGCUAAAUACUCCUGACUGACCGAUAGUGAACCAGUACCGUGAGGGAAAGGCGAAAAGAACCCCUGUGAGGGGAGUGAAAUAGAUCCUGAAACCGCAUGCAUACAAGCAGUGGGAGCACCUUCGUGGUGUGACUGCGUACCUUUUGUAUAAUGGGUCAGCGACUUAUAUUCAGUAGCGAGGUUAACCGUAUAGGGGAGCCGUAGAGAAAUCGAGUCUUAAUAGGGCGUUUAGUUGCUGGGUAUAGACCCGAAACCAGGCGAUCUAUCCAUGAGCAGGUUGAAGGUUGGGUAACACUAACUGGAGGACCGAACCCACUGUCGUUGAAAAGCCAGGGGAUGACUUGUGGAUAGGGGUGAAAGGCUAAUCAAGCCUGGUGAUAGCUGGUUCUCCCCGAAAGCUAUUUAGGUAGCGCCUCGGACGAAUACCAUAGGGGGUAGAGCACUGUUUCGGCUAGGGGGUCAUCCCGACUUACCAAACCGAUGCAAACUCCGAAUACCUAUGAGUACUAUCCGGGAGACAGACUGCGGGUGCUAACGUCCGUAGUCAAGAGGAAAACAAUCCAGACCGCCAGCUAAGGCCCCAAAAUCAUAGUUAAGUGGGAAACGAUGUGGGAAGGCAUAGACAGCUAGGAGGUUGGCUUAGAAGCAGCCACCCUUUAAAGAAAGCGUAAUAGCUCACUAGUCGAGUCGGCCUGCGCGGAAGAUGUAACGGGGCUAAAACUAUGUGCCGAAGCUGCGGAUGUAUACUUUGUAUACGUGGUAGGGGAGCGUUCUGUAAGCCGAUGAAGGUGUGUUGAGAAGCAUGCUGGAGGUAUCAGAAGUGCGAAUGCUGACGUGAGUAACGACAAAACGGGUGAAAAACCCGUUCGCCGAAAGACCAAGGGUUCCAGUCCAACGUUAAUCGGGGCUGGGUGAGUCGACCCCUAAGGCGAGGCCGAAAGGCGUAGUCGAUGGGAAAAUGGUUAAUAUUCCAUUACUUCUGUGUAAUGCGAUGAGAGGACGGAGAAGGCUAAAUCAGCCUGGCGUUGGUUGUCCAGGUGAAAGGAUGUAGGCAUGUAUCUUAGGCAAAUCCGGGGUACUCUAUGCUGAGAUCUGAUAGCAAGCUGUACUUGUACAGCGAAGUGGUUGAUGCCAUGCUUCCAGGAAAAGUCUCUAAGCUUCAGUUACACAGGAAUCGUACCCGAAACCGACACAGGUGGUCAGGUCGAGUAGACCAAGGCGCUUGAGAGAACUCUGCUGAAGGAACUAGGCAAAAUGGUACCGUAACUUCGGGAGAAGGUACGCUGUUGUUGGUGAUGGAACUCGCUUCCUGAGCUGACGACAGCCGCAGAAACCAGGCCGCUGCAACUGUUUAUUAAAAACAUAGCACUCUGCAAACACGAAAGUGGACGUAUAGGGUGUGAUGCCUGCCCGGUGCUGGAAGGUUAAUUGAUGGGGUUAGCGUAAGCGAAGCUCUUGAUCGAAGCCCCAGUAAACGGCGGCCGUAACUAUAACGGUCCUAAGGUAGCGAAAUUCCUUGUCGGGUAAGUUCCGACCUGCACGAAUGGCAUAAUGAUGGCGGCGCUGUCUCCAGCAGAGGCUCAGUGAAAUCGAAAUCGCUGUGAAGAUGCAGUGUACCCGCGGCUAGACGGAAAGACCCCGUGAACCUUUACUGCAGCUUGACACUGAACUUUGACCUUACUUGUGUAGGAUAGGUGGGAGGCUUUGAAGCUGGAACGCUAGUUCCAGUGGAGCCGUCCUUGAAAUACCACCCUGGUAAUGUUGAGGUUCUAACUCUGUCCCGUGAUCCGGGACGAGGACCGUGUCUGGUGGGUAGUUUGACUGGGGCGGUCUCCUCCUAAAGAGUAACGGAGGAGUACGAAGGUGCGCUCAGCGUGGUCGGAAAUCACGCGUAGAGUAUAAAGGCAAAAGCGCGCUUAACUGCGAGACCCACAAGUCGAGCAGGUACGAAAGUAGGUCUUAGUGAUCCGGUGGUUCUGUAUGGAAGGGCCAUCGCUCAACGGAUAAAAGGUACUCUGGGGAUAACAGGCUGAUACCGCCCAAGAGUUCAUAUCGACGGCGGUGUUUGGCACCUCGAUGUCGGCUCAUCUCAUCCUGGGGCUGAAGCAGGUCCCAAGGGUAUGGCUGUUCGCCAUUUAAAGAGGUACGCGAGCUGGGUUUAGAACGUCGUGAGACAGUUCGGUCCCUAUCUACCGUGGGCGCUGGAAAUUUGAGAGGAUCUGCUCCUAGUACGAGAGGACCAGAGUGGACGAACCUCUGGUGUACCGGUUGUGACGCCAGUCGCAUCGCCGGGUAGCUAUGUUCGGAAGGGAUAACCGCUGAAAGCAUCUAAGCGGGAAGCCUACCUCAAGAUAAGAUUUCCCUAGGACUUUAUGUCCUCUAAAGAGCCGUUCGAGACUAGGACGUUGAUAGGUUGGAUGUGGAAGCAUAGUGAUAUGUAAGCUGACCAAUACUAAUUGCUCGUGAGGCUUGACUAU
This 2629-nucleotide ribosomal RNA is filed under the name Acinetobacter baumannii 2887. RNAcentral describes it as "bacterial LSU rRNA". It matches the Rfam family "Bacterial large subunit ribosomal RNA", at positions 304 to 2925 of the family's 2925-position model. Lineage: Bacteria; Pseudomonadati; Pseudomonadota; Gammaproteobacteria; Moraxellales; Moraxellaceae. The record is from RNAcentral.